CGGGAUAUAGCGCAGUUUGGUAGCGCGCUGCUUUGGGAGCAGGAUGUCGCAGGUUCAAGUCCUGCUAUCCCGA
This 73-nucleotide transfer RNA is filed under the name Rhodymenia pseudopalmata. RNAcentral describes it as "tRNA-Pro". It matches the Rfam family "tRNA". Rfam says of the family: Transfer RNA (tRNA) molecules are approximately 80 nucleotides in length. Their secondary structure includes four short double-helical elements and three loops (D, anti-codon, and T loops). Further hydrogen bonds mediate the characteristic L-shaped molecular structure. tRNAs have two regions of fundamental functional importance: the anti-codon, which is responsible for specific mRNA codon recognition, and the 3' end, to which the tRNAs corresponding amino acid is attached (by aminoacyl-tRNA synthetases). tRNAs cope with the degeneracy of the genetic code in two manners: having more than one tRNA (with a specific anti-codon) for a particular amino acid; and 'wobble' base-pairing, i.e. permitting non-standard base-pairing at the 3rd anti-codon position. RNAcentral also lists the same sequence under 2 other names. The record is from RNAcentral. Lineage: Eukaryota; Rhodophyta; Florideophyceae; Rhodymeniales; Rhodymeniaceae.